Non-coding RNA from Nerophis lumbriciformis (worm pipefish), 218 nucleotides. Lineage: Eukaryota; Metazoa; Chordata; Actinopteri; Syngnathiformes; Syngnathidae. The record is from RefSeq and is a predicted model, not a curated record.
UUGACUAUACUUUCAGGGAUCAUUUCUAUAGUUCUUGACUUGAGAAAUGUGUUUCUAAAGUGAAUGGUCUCGCUAACCAUGAUGUAGAGAGGUGAUAUUCCUUCCUGAGCGUGAAGCUGGCAUUGAAUAAUGAUUCCAGUUUAUUGCUUGGGCAGCUAAGCAAAACAAAAAACAUUUGAUUGACACAAAUUUUGCAGGAAGCAUCUAUCAUAACAGGA